GAGUUUGAUCAUGGCUCAGAUUGAACGUUGGCGGCAUGCCUUACACAUGCAAGUCGAACGGCAGCAUGAUCUAGCUUGCUAGAUUGAUGGCGAGUGGCGAACGGGUGAGUAAUACAUCGGAACGUGCCCUGUAGUGGGGGAUAACUAGUCGAAAGAUUAGCUAAUACCGCAUACGACCUGAGGGUGAAAGUGGGGGACCGCAAGGCCUCAUGCUAUAGGAGCGGCCGAUGUCUGAUUAGCUAGUUGGUGGGGUAAAGGCCCACCAAGGCGACGAUCAGUAGCUGGUCUGAGAGGACGAUCAGCCACACUGGGACUGAGACACGGCCCAGACUCCUACGGGAGGCAGCAGUGGGGAAUUUGGACAAUGGGCGAAAGCCUGAUCCAGCAAUGCCGCGUGUGUGAAGAAGGCC
This 410-nucleotide ribosomal RNA is filed under the name uncultured microorganism. RNAcentral describes it as "bacterial SSU rRNA". It matches the Rfam family "Bacterial small subunit ribosomal RNA", at positions 9 to 416 of the family's 1533-position model. The record is from RNAcentral.